CUCAGAUUGAACGCUGGCGGCAGGCCUAACACAUGCAAGUCGAGCGGUAGCACAGAGAGCUUGCUCUCGGGUGACGAGCGGCGGACGGGUGAGUAAUGUCUGGGAAACUGCCUGAUGGAGGGGGAUAACUACUGGAAACGGUAGCUAAUACCGCAUAACGUCGCAAGACCAAAGUGGGGGACCUUCGGGCCUCAUGCCAUCAGAUGUGCCCAGAUGGGAUUAGCUAGUAGGUGGGGUAACGGCUCACCUAGGCGACGAUCCCUAGCUGGUCUGAGAGGAUGACCAGCCACACUGGAACUGAGACACGGUCCAGACUCCUACGGGAGGCAGCAGUGGGGAAUAUUGCACAAUGGGCGCAAGCCUGAUGCAGCCAUGCCGCGUGUGUGAAGAAGGCCUUCGGGUUGUAAAGCACUUUCAGCGGGGAGGAAGGCGGUGAGGUUAAUAACCUCAUCGAUUGACGUUACCCGCAGAAGAAGCACCGGCUAACUCCGUGCCAGCAGCCGCGGUAAUACGGAGGGUGCAAGCGUUAAUCGGAAUUACUGGGCGUAAAGCGCACGCAGGCGGUCUGUCAAGUCGGAUGUGAAAUCCCCGGGCUCAACCUGGGAACUGCAUUCGAAACUGGCAGGCUAGAGUCUUGUAGAGGGGGGUAGAAUUCCAGGUGUAGCGGUGAAAUGCGUAGAGAUCUGGAGGAAUACCGGUGGCGAAGGCGGCCCCCUGGACAAAGACUGACGCUCAGGUGCGAAAGCGUGGGGAGCAAACAGGAUUAGAUACCCUGGUAGUCCACGCUGUAAACGAUGUCGAUUUGGAGGUUGUGCCCUUGAGGCGUGGCUUCCGGAGCUAACGCGUUAAAUCGACCGCCUGGGGAGUACGGCCGCAAGGUUAAAACUCAAAUGAAUUGACGGGGGCCCGCACAAGCGGUGGAGCAUGUGGUUUAAUUCGAUGCAACGCGAAGAACCUUACCUGGUCUUGACAUCCACAGAACUUUCCAGAGAUGGAUUGGUGCCUUCGGGAACUGUGAGACAGGUGCUGCAUGGCUGUCGUCAGCUCGUGUUGUGAAAUGUUGGGUUAAGUCCCGCAACGAGCGCAACCCUUAUCCUUUGUUGCCAGCGGUCCGGCCGGGAACUCAAAGGAGACUGCCAGUGAUAAACUGGAGGAAGGUGGGGAUGACGUCAAGUCAUCAUGGCCCUUACGACCAGGGCUACACACGUGCUACAAUGGCAUAUACAAAGAGAAGCGACCUCGCGAGAGCAAGCGGACCUCAUAAAGUAUGUCGUAGUCCGGAUUGGAGUCUGCAACUCGACUCCAUGAAGUCGGAAUCGCUAGUAAUCGUAGAUCAGAAUGCUACGGUGAAUACGUUCCCGGGCCUUGUACACACCGCCCGUCACACCAUGGGAGUGGGUUGCAAAAGAAGUAGGUAGCUUAACCUUCGGGAGGGCGC
This 1438-nucleotide ribosomal RNA is filed under the name Klebsiella pneumoniae subsp. pneumoniae. Its description in RNAcentral is "bacterial SSU rRNA". It matches the Rfam family "Bacterial small subunit ribosomal RNA". Lineage: Bacteria; Pseudomonadati; Pseudomonadota; Gammaproteobacteria; Enterobacterales; Enterobacteriaceae. The record is from RNAcentral.